This 1467-nucleotide ribosomal RNA is filed under the name bioreactor metagenome. Its description in RNAcentral is "bacterial LSU rRNA". It matches the Rfam family "Bacterial large subunit ribosomal RNA", at positions 574 to 1990 of the family's 2925-position model. The record is from RNAcentral.
UCAGAGCACUAUGGGGAAGCUUGCUUCUCCAGUGUGAUGGCGUACUUUUUGUAGAACGGGCCGGCGAGUUAUGGUCGGUAGCGAGGUUAAGGGACUUUGUUCCGGAGCCGUAGCGAAAGCGAGUCUUAACAGGGCGAUUAGUUACCGGCUGUAGACCCGAAACCGGGUGAUCUACCCAUGGCCAGGGUGAAGCUCGGGUGAUGCUGAGUGGAGGCCCGCACCCACCGAUGUUAAAAAAUCGGGGGAUGAGCUGUGGGUAGGGGUGAAAAGCCAAUCGAACCCGGAGAUAGCUGGUUCUCCUCGAAAUAGCUUUAGGGCUAGCCUCGGGGGUUUAGUUACGGAGGUAGAGCACUGAUUGAGCUAGGGGCCCGACAAGGUUACCGAACUCACUCAAACUCCGAAUGCCGUAACUUCAGACCCCGGGAGUCAGACUACGGGUGAUAAGAUUCGUGGUCGAAAGGGAAACAGCCCAGACCGUCGGCUAAGGUCCCUAAAUGCAGGCUCAGUGGGAAAGGAUGUGGAGCUGCCUGGACAACCAGGAUGUUGGCUUAGAAGCAGCCACCAUUUAAAGAGUGCGUAAUAGCUCACUGGUCAAGUGGUUCUGCGCCGAAAAUGUAACGGGGCUAAGCCUGCUACCGAAGCCACGGUCCAGCACUCAACCGAGGUUGAGUGCUGGAGGUAGGGGAGCGUUCUGCAUGCGUCGAAGCCGUACCGUGAGGAGCGGUGGAGCGUGUAGAAGUGAGAAUGCCGGCAUGAGUAACGAUAAGACAGGUGAGAAUCCUGUUCGCCGCAAGCCUAAGGUUUCCUGAGGAAGGUUCGUCCGCUCAGGGUAAGCCGGGACCUAAGCCGAGGCCGGAUGGCGUAGGCGAUGGAUAACUGGUGGAGAUUCCAGUGCCACCUUAAGGCCGUUAUGAGCGAUGGGGUGACGCAGGAGGGUAGGCGCAGCGCACCGUUGGUUGUGUGCGUCCAAGCGUGUAGGGAGAGCCGGUAGGCAAAUCCGCCGGCUUGUUAAUCCCGAGGCGCGAUGGGGAGCGAAAAUAUGUAGUAGCGAACUGGCCGAUCCCAUACUGCCGAGAAAAGCCUCUAGCCAGGCCUGAAGGUGCCCGUACCGUAAACCGACACAGGUAGGCGGGGAGAGUAUCCUCAGGCGCGCGGGAAAACCCUCGUUAAGGAACUCGGCAAAUUGACCCCGUAACUUAGGGAUAAGGGGUGCCUUUAUUGGUGAUGGGACUUGCUCCCGGAGCUUUUGAAGGUUGCAACAAAGAGGCUGGUGCGACUGUUUAACAAAAACACAGCUCUAUGCUAACUCGCAAGAGGAUGUAUAUGGAGUGACACGUGACCAAUGCCAAAAGGUCAAUGGGAGAGGUUAGCGCAAGCGAAGCUUCGAUCUGAAGCCCUGGUGAAUGUCGGCCGUAACUAUAACGGUCCUAAGGUAGCGAAAUUCCUUGUCGGGUAAGUUCCGACCUG